UUGGAUUGACACAUUAUGCAAGCCAAGUUUUCUACAAUGCAUUAUUCUACUCAUGUUCUUUACUAUCAUUUCAGUAAUUUUCUGUGAUAAUCUUCCCUUUUAAAUACGAAGUGAUGUACAGUGUAGCCUGGCUUGACAUAGCAGGCCUUGAGUGGACAGAAGAUGUGGCUGUAGACAGAAGAUGCGGACAGAGUGGACACAAAAAAAGUGGACAGAAGAUGCUUGGACAGAAGUGGUCAGAAGAUGCGGCUGCUUCAGCAAGCAUGAUUCAGCCUAUCUGCCGCCACCAGGCCGCUGGUGUUGUGAGAUGACACACACUACAAAAGCCCCAUGAUCUAUGGCAUUGUCUCUUCCUCCAAUUACUAUUCACACCUCUGAUUAACUUUGAUGUGGAACCUAAUGAGAUAAGGGCGAUUAUCAAGGCAGUGGCUGAUAGUGGUCUCAUUUAUUCCUGCGCCUGGAACCGGCAAGUGACAAAAAACUAAUGAGGAGGAGUCUGCCAGUAAAGCCCAGAGAGUUAAGGCUAGGAGAGGCGAGGAGAGGCGAGGAGAGGAGAGGCGAGGAGAGGAGAGGAGGGGAGGGGAGGGGAGAGGAGAGGAGAGGAGAGGAGAGGAGAGGAGAGGAGAGG
RNAcentral lists this long non-coding RNA (628 nucleotides) under Oncorhynchus kisutch (coho salmon). Its description in RNAcentral is "lncRNA (ENSOKIG00005037382.1)". Lineage: Eukaryota; Metazoa; Chordata; Actinopteri; Salmoniformes; Salmonidae. The record is from RNAcentral.